GAGGAGGAGGAGGAAGAGAGAGGAAGAGCAGGAAGCACACAGCUGCACAAUCAGUAAGCAGAGGCAGGGUCCAUCACAGGGGAAGCUGAGCCAGGGAGCCAAGCUGAGAAAAGUCUCACCGCGGAUGUCGACCUUGCCGGCGAUCUCCAUGGCCGUGGUCAGGUCCCACAUCUGGAUGCUGCCGUUGCCGUGGCUACUGAACAGGUAGCGGCGCGGCCGGGAGCCGAUGCG
Long non-coding RNA from Perca flavescens (yellow perch), 231 nucleotides. RefSeq lists it as uncharacterized. The transcript is spliced from 3 exons. The record is from RefSeq and is a predicted model, not a curated record. NCBI's taxonomy places the organism in Eukaryota, Metazoa, Chordata, Actinopteri, Perciformes, Percidae.